GUGUGACUUGUGGGCUUCCCUUUGUCAUCCUUUGCCCAGGGCUCUGAGUGGGGCAGGGACAGCAAAGGGGUGCUCAGUCGUCACCUCC
Molecule: microRNA precursor, 88 nt
Filed under: Camelus bactrianus (Bactrian camel)
Lineage: Eukaryota; Metazoa; Chordata; Mammalia; Artiodactyla; Camelidae
Also listed under: 3 other names
Description: mir-204 microRNA precursor family
Rfam family: mir-204 microRNA precursor family
Source: Rfam by way of RNAcentral